This 269-nucleotide long non-coding RNA is filed under the name Capsicum annuum. RNAcentral describes it as "long non-coding RNA (CANN_LNC020924)". Lineage: Eukaryota; Viridiplantae; Streptophyta; Magnoliopsida; Solanales; Solanaceae. The record is from RNAcentral.
CCCAGACCCCACUAUGUGAGAAUAUACUGGGUUUGUUGUUGUUGUUGUUGUUGUUGUUUUGAGUAAUAUUCCCUCCGUUCCAUAUUAGUAUUCGUGUUUUGCUUUAUGAGAGUCAAGCUAAUUAAUCUUUCAAGUUAAAUUGGAUUAGAGUAAUUGAUUAAUAUUUUAAAAUUAUUAUUUAAAUAUUUAAAACUAUACGUGAAGUACUAUAUGUUACCGUUCUUAUAUCAAUAUGUUGUAAAACGUUGGUCAAAAUUCAUGUAGUCUAU